RNA transcript from Oryza sativa Japonica Group (Japanese rice), 2786 nucleotides. RefSeq lists it as uncharacterized. The record is from RefSeq and is a predicted model, not a curated record. Lineage: Eukaryota; Viridiplantae; Streptophyta; Magnoliopsida; Poales; Poaceae.
CCUCUCUCCCACUUCCUCCCUUUCCCACCGCCGCCGCCGCCGCCGAAAAAGAAGAAGAAGCCGACGAGGAGGCGACCAUGAGGGCCAAGUGGAAGAAGAAGCGCAUGAGGAGGCUGAAGAGGAAGCGCCGAAAGAUGAGGCAGAGAUCUAAGUAGGCGAAGGAGAUGGGCGAUCAUGGUGAUGGCGUGUCGCAGUGAUCCAUGUCUUCGGCUGCCAAGCUCGUUGAUAUGUCAAGCUGCUUGGCGUGGUGCCACCAUUCGACUGUUGAAUGGCUUAUUUACCUGUGCUGUUAUCAUCUUAUAUCCCUAGUUUUACCAAGAGUUUUGCACCAAGACAUGUCGGUUCAGUUAUGUGAACUUGUUAUGGAGCCGUAUUUGCUGCUAAUGUUUACCUACCGUUGAGUAAUUGCUUUGUUGGCUCUGUGGUAACAUCUAUUGAUUGCUGCUUUAUCUGUUAGCAUUGGUGUGUUGAUCUCUGCGUUAUUGCUUGCUUGAUGGUUUCAGUGUAGGAAUUUCCCUGGAGACGCUGAUGCUCAGCCUGGACAGGCCUUACUUUUUCUUUAGAAGCUUAACAUUGUUUUGCAUGUCUGCAGUUCUUCGGCUGGUUCUUGCUUCCUGUGGUAGCUUGUUUGUUGUUCUACUUAGGGCCUGUUUUGCAGGGUUUAACUUCCAAAUUUAACUCAAGAGUUGGCUUUGGAGAGCAGCCUGAACCCUGCUCUCUAGUCUAUGGCUGUGUUUAGUUUCAUGCUAAAAUUGGAAGCUUGACUAAAAAUUGGAAGUUUGAAGAAAAAAGUUGGAAGUUUAUUAGCCCUAUCGUUUGGCCUAAACAGCUAAAGAAUAAACCAAAAUUUGAUUUUGAAAUGCUUUUAACAUAAUUUUUUUUUAAUGUUGGCUUUUAAGUUUUGAAAUGCUUAUGUGUGCAUGUGAUGGAAAAGUAAAGUUAGGAACUAAACAAAGCAUAUGAUUUGAGAGCAUACCAGUCUGUUCUGAUCCCUUUUAAGGCGAAGCUGAAACAUCUUGGUUCUCUAGUUUAUUUUCUGAGAGGUGCAGCUCAAAACAGUUUGAUUUAAAUAAGCCCUAGGAGUAUGUAGUUUGGAGAUAUUUUGCAAAUUUUGAAUUUGCUGUUCAUUGCGGUUAAGUAAUUUUGCGUUUAUUUCAUAUCGUGAGCAAUGGUGUGACAUUGGAUAGGUUGUUUAAAUCUGUUUUAGAUGUAGCGUGGAAAGAUUAGAUGGAAGCCGUCUAAAUCAUGUUCAUGAACGUAUAUUUUUCGUUUAUUUCGCUGCUUUCACGGUGUUUCGACCUCUGUGUUCUGGUAGCUUUUCUUGGUACGCUGCGUUGGAAGGAUCAGUUCUAGCUACUCAUUGCAUACUGUUCAAUGUUAACGAUGCAUAUUAUUGUGGUUGAUUGAUGAAUUUUAAACUCAGCGAUAAUUUGAGGGAUAUAAAGUGAACUUAUUCAUAGACUGAAUUAGGCCCAAAUAUAACCGCACAGCCCAUUUCACAUCCAAAUGUGGGCCCAUUACAUGGAGGCCCAUCACCGUCUCGCACUUUCUCGCUUCUAGUCCCCAAUCUGAAGCCCCCCUCGAUGGCAUCGCCGCUCCAAUGGACGGCUCCGAUCCACCCGCCGCCGCCUCCCCAUCCGCCGCAGCUGCCGCCGGCGACGACGACGACGAGCGAGCCGCCGCGCCCGCGGCCCAGCCGGAGCGGUGCGAGGCUCUGGCCGGGGCCAUCGCGGGGGUGCUGGGCGGCGCGCUGCAGGAACACGAGGCGUGCGCGGCGGCCACCGCUCGGAGCCAGGGCGAGCUCGCCGCCGCCGUCGACCGGCUCAACGGAGAACUAGACAAGCUAUUAGAGAAUGCACCCUCCCCGGUCAUAAUGCAACAAGCCACAAGGAUUUGUUCUAUUCGCAAGAGAGUUUUAGCUCUGAACAUGCUCCUGCGCUCCAUACAAAGACGUAUAGAUAACAUUGAUAGAAUUGUUUCUACUGGUGUAACAAGUGGUAUUGCUCUUCUACGAUGAAUAAUAUCAUUCUUCUCAUGUACAGUUGCACAGACAGAAUUGAAGUUGGAUUGAGGGUUUAGAAGAUAGUUUCCACUGUUACCCCGUGUACACCCGUUUCUAUCUGGGAGAGUUGCCAUUUGAAGUUCUACUGUAAGCAACAUUUUCGUACGAAGUUGUGCCUAAAAGUGAGAGUAACAUUUGCAGUUUGUCCUCCAAAUGAGUCUCACUUACUCCAUUUCUUUUUGCCAUUUAAUGGAGUGGGAGUAAUAUAUUGGACCAAUCUUUUUUUUUUGUUCGUACUGCAGACUGGGAAAUGUACUUCAGAUGUAUCAUUUGCAUUUGUGAACUUUCUUUUUGUGGGUGAGGAAUCGUCACUGCAUAUAUCAGAUGAAUGUUGCUCCAUCGACACAUCGAAGUUGCCAACAACGUGAAUCAAUCGAUUGUGUUGUUAUAUGUUUUCUGUUGUACCUUUCUGGCCAACCUUGUUCCCACAUUUCAAACAAAUUGUCUAAAUUUUGUUUAAUCGAUGAAGCCGACCUGUGCCGGCUUGCGUAUAUUCAUUGAUGCGGCAACGUUAGUGAAAACAAGAAAAUUUAGAAUAGUUGUUAAUUGAUUCAUCUAGUACGUUACUAUGUACUCACUCCCUUUCAAAAUAUAAGGAGUUUUGGUUAGACUUGACAGUAUUGAGAUGUGUCUCGUCUAAUUAAAACUCCUUAUAUUUUGGGACGGAUGGAGUAUUAUGCUCUAAAUGUACUGCCAGACGAGGAAAAUAUUGUGCGCAGCGAAA